This 591-nucleotide ribosomal RNA is filed under the name uncultured beta proteobacterium. Its description in RNAcentral is "bacterial SSU rRNA". It matches the Rfam family "Bacterial small subunit ribosomal RNA", at positions 329 to 913 of the family's 1533-position model. The record is from RNAcentral. Lineage: Bacteria; Pseudomonadati; Pseudomonadota; Betaproteobacteria.
CAGGUCACUCCUACGGGAGGCAGCAGUGGGGAAUUUUGGACAAUGGGCGCAAGCCUGAUCCAGCCAUUCCGCGUGCAGGAUGAAGGCCCUCGGGUUGUAAACUGCUUUUGUACGGAACGAAAAGGCUCUCUCUAAUACAGGGGGCUCAUGACGGUACCGUAAGAAUAAGCACCGGCUAACUACGUGCCAGCAGCCGCGGUAAUACGUAGGGUGCAAGCGUUAAUCGGAAUUACUGGGCGUAAAGCGUGCGCAGGCGGUGAUGUAAGACAGUUGUGAAAUCCCCGGGCUCAACCUGGGAACUGCAUCUGUGACUGCAUCGCUGGAGUGCGGCAGAGGGGGAUGGAAUUCCGCGUGUAGCAGUGAAAUGCGUAGAUAUGCGGAGGAACACCGAUGGCGAAGGCAAUCCCCUGGGCCUGCACUGACGCUCAUGCACGAAAGCGUGGGGAGCAAACAGGAUUAGAUACCCUGGUAGUCCACGCCCUAAACGAUGUCAACUGGUUGUUGGUCCUUCACUGGAUCAGUAACGAAGCUAACGCGUGAAGUUGACCGCCUGGGGAGUACGGCCGCAAGGUUGAAACUUAAAGGAAUACG